Molecule: ribosomal RNA, 488 nt
Filed under: Paenibacillus sp. 86
Lineage: Bacteria; Bacillati; Bacillota; Bacilli; Caryophanales; Paenibacillaceae
Description: bacterial SSU rRNA
Rfam family: Bacterial small subunit ribosomal RNA
Source: RNAcentral
AGCGGCGGACGGGUGAGUAACACGUAGGCAACCUGCCCUCAAGACUGGGAUAACUACCGGAAACGGUAGCUAAUACCGGAUAAUUUAUUUUGCAGCAUUGUGAAAUAAUGAAAGGCGGAGCAAUCUGUCACUUGAGGAUGGGCCUGCGGCGCAUUAGCUAGUUGGUGGGGUAACGGCUCACCAAGGCGACGAUGCGUAGCCGACCUGAGAGGGUGAACGGCCACACUGGGACUGAGACACGGCCCAGACUCCUACGGGAGGCAGCAGUAGGGAAUCUUCCGCAAUGGGCGAAAGCCUGACGGAGCAACGCCGCGUGAGUGAUGAAGGUUAACGGAUCGUAAAGCUCUGUUGCCAAGGAAGAACGUCUUCUAGAGUAACUGCUAGGAGAGUGACGGUACUUGAGAAGAAAGCCCCGGCUAACUACGUGCCAGCAGCCGCGGUAAUACGUAGGGGGCAAGCGUUGUUCGGAAUUAUUGGGCGUAAAGCGC